CAGAGAAUAGUUUAGUUUAGAAUUCUAGCUUUGGGAGUUAGAGGUGGAAGUUAAAAUCUUUUUUCUCUGGCCUCAGGGGGGAUUUUAACCUCCGAUCUCCGGAUUACAAGACCGGCGCUUUGAGUUAAGCUACUGGGGCAGUUUCAUUCU
RNAcentral lists this transfer RNA (150 nucleotides) under Ilisha elongata (elongate ilisha). RNAcentral's name for it is "tRNA-Pro". The stretch from base 1 to 70 matches the Rfam family "tRNA". The record is from RNAcentral. Lineage: Eukaryota; Metazoa; Chordata; Actinopteri; Clupeiformes; Pristigasteridae.